RNAcentral lists this long non-coding RNA (202 nucleotides) under Lathyrus oleraceus (garden pea). RNAcentral describes it as "Pisum sativum (pea) long non-coding RNA (PSAT_LNC014522)". The record is from RNAcentral. Lineage: Eukaryota; Viridiplantae; Streptophyta; Magnoliopsida; Fabales; Fabaceae.
AAGCCAAGAGCAUAGCAUUCAUGUCAAACACUGAAGAGGAAGAUGAGGAAGGUGGUCAAGAUAUUGAUGAAGAUCUGGAAAAUGAGAUAGCAAUGCUGGGAAGACAGUUCAACAGACUGGUGAAAAGGGUAGAUGUGAGAGCAAAGGGCAAUGUCAAGAACAUCGCAUCUGACAUCAGUAAAUCCAACAACUUUGGUAAGAA